Molecule: ribosomal RNA, 305 nt
Filed under: uncultured bacterium
Lineage: Bacteria
Description: bacterial SSU rRNA
Rfam family: Bacterial small subunit ribosomal RNA
Source: RNAcentral
CCUACGGGAGGCAGCAGUGGGGAAUAUUGCACAAUGGGGGAAACCCUGAUGCAGCGACGCCGCGUGAGUGAAGAAGUAUUUCGGUAUGUAAAGCUCUAUCAGCAGGGAAGAAAAUGACGGUACCUGACUAAGAAGCCCCGGCUAACUACGUGCCAGCAGCCGCGGUAAUACGUAGGGGGCAAGCGUUAUCCGGAUUUACUGGGUGUAAAGGGAGCGUAGACGGCGGAGCAAGUCCGAAGUGAAAACCCAGGGCUCAACUCCGGGAGUGCAUUUGAAACUGCCAUGCUGGAGUGCCGGAGAGGUAA